This 119-nucleotide ribosomal RNA is filed under the name uncultured bacterium. Its description in RNAcentral is "partial 16S ribosomal RNA". It matches the Rfam family "Bacterial small subunit ribosomal RNA", at positions 1365 to 1482 of the family's 1533-position model. The record is from RNAcentral.
AAUACGUUCCCGGGCCUUGUACACACCGCCCGUCAAGUCACGAAAGUCGGUAACACCCGAAGCCGGUGGCCCAACCCUUUGGGAGGGAGCCGUCGAAGGCGGGGCUCGCGAUUGGGGUG